Molecule: ribosomal RNA, 206 nt
Filed under: uncultured bacterium
Lineage: Bacteria
Description: partial 16S ribosomal RNA
Rfam family: Bacterial small subunit ribosomal RNA
Source: RNAcentral
CGUGUAGGCGGUCAAGUAAGUGGAAUGUGAAACGCCUCGGCUUACCCGAGGACCUGCAUCCCAAACUGCUUGGCUUGAGUAUGGGAGAGGAUGAGGGAAUUCCUGGUGUAGCGGUGAAAUGCGUAGAUAUCAGGAGGAACACCGUUGGCGAAGGCGAGCUUCUGGGCUGUCCCUGACGCUGAGGCGCGAAAGCUGGGGAGCAAACA